AGAGUUUGAUCCUGGCUCAGAUUGAACGCUGGCGGCAUGCUUUACACAUGCAAGUCGAACGGCAGCACGGGGGCAACCCUGGUGGCGAGUGGCGAACGGGUGAGUAAUAUAUCGGAACAUAUCCGGAAGUGGGGGAUAACGUACCGAAAGGUACGCUAAUACCGCAUAUGCCCUGAGGGGGAAAGGGGGGGAUCGCAAGACCUCUCGCUUUCGGAGUGGCCGAUAUCGGAUUAGCUAGUUGGUGAGGUAAAGGCUCACCAAGGCGACGAUCCGUAGCUGGUCUGAGAGGACGACCAGCCACACUGGAACUGAGACACGGUCCAGACUCCUACGGGAGGCAGCAGUGGGGAAUUUUGGACAAUGGGCGAAAGCCUGAUCCAGCCAUGCCGCGUGAGUGAAGAAGGCCUUCGGG
RNAcentral lists this ribosomal RNA (412 nucleotides) under uncultured bacterium. Its description in RNAcentral is "bacterial SSU rRNA". It matches the Rfam family "Bacterial small subunit ribosomal RNA", at positions 8 to 422 of the family's 1533-position model. The record is from RNAcentral.